RNAcentral lists this long non-coding RNA (769 nucleotides) under Homo sapiens (human). RNAcentral describes it as "HSALNT0331895". Lineage: Eukaryota; Metazoa; Chordata; Mammalia; Primates; Hominidae. The record is from RNAcentral.
AGAGAAGGAAGAGUUUGACAGACAAAGGCCCAGGAGAGACAAGGAGUUCAGGCAGGGAAAUGGAGGCUGGGGUUUGAGUGCAUACCCCAAUCAAUUCCAGACACGAUGUUUGAUCUCCACACAGGAAAGAGGUAUCGCAUUGCUGAGCACAGAGCGGGUGCUGUGGAGGUUCAGGAGACCUCUCAGAGGCUGGGCCCUGUUACUGGCAGGUGAUCUGAGCAUGGUGAGCCUGCUGCCUGAAGGUGACUUGGACAUCAUUGACACCGGGUUGUGGAGAGCAUCGUGACUUGCCUUUGCAAGAGAUUCGCUCUCCUAAUCUUGUUUUGCCCAGGAUGCCACUUGAGUUUGCAUUUCCCGCACACACACAGCCCUUCUCUUAAUACAGUGUGGGUGAGCUGCAGAUAAGCAAUGUGUAAGGAGACACCGUUGGGACUAAACACUUUCCAGAAUAAUCUACCAUAGGAAAUUAAAGGAGGAACUUAUUCCACUGCUACCCUUAUUUUGCAGGAUGGGAAUCUGGGGUACAAUAUAAUUUUAUGCCCAUUCCAGUUCAAAGCUCUUCCUCAGAGUUUUUUUUUUUUCCAAAGGAAAACUGGAAACCAUGUUUUUCUUGGUCUGUAUGUCCUCAAAGGACCGACAUAACUGACACAGCAUGAGGGGCAGCUGCCAAAGGCACAGUAUUGGCACCAGUGGAGGAUGUCCAGGUUCUUGGCAUCUUGAACAAAGAAUAGGACAAAAUGUGCAAACAAAGCAAGGAAGGAAUGAAUGG